Molecule: long non-coding RNA, 631 nt
Filed under: Marmota monax (woodchuck)
Lineage: Eukaryota; Metazoa; Chordata; Mammalia; Rodentia; Sciuridae
Source: RNAcentral
CAGCAAUUUUUAUAAUAACUUCUUAAUUCAACUCUAGUUUAUGCCUGGUAAAGAAGAAAAAUGCCAUAACUUCUAAAAGAAGAAAUGCAAAGAAAAUGCAAAAACAGAUCACGUGGGUUGCAAGUGGGUCGCAGCACAUGGAAGCUUCGUGGAUAGAGACUUCAGGUUUCUGGGAAUGGCCAGUGGAUGUUUCCUCUGGUCAGUUGCCCAGGGACAAUGUGAAUCUCUUUCCUGCUCUGCCGUGGCCCACACAGCACCUGAGAUGGGUGUGACCUGCCAAGAUGUCAAUCAACCGGCUGAGUGCAAGAUUUCAAAAAGCAAGACUCUGCCCUUGAAACCUUAUCCCUGCCUUUGAUGUACCCCCUUAAAUAAACCACCAGAGCCAUUUUCCCUUUGUCUAGUUCCAGGGCUUCGCAUUAUGUAAAUAUAUUUCUGAGUAUCUGUGUUUUGUUAUUUAUUAAUUAUCUGAGAUUGUAAGUUUUAUGGUGGCUUGGAUUCCCCUGGACAGAGAGAACCCCUGCAAAGAGACGCUGGCCAUCAUUCCCCCUUGAAAAUGCUGAUUUUUACCAAGAAUAAUAUGAUCCUUAGAAAGUCUUUUUCUAGCUAAAUGAUCGGCUUCUGUUUCAAUCCC